Non-coding RNA from Macaca mulatta (Rhesus monkey), 2791 nucleotides. The record is from RefSeq and is a predicted model, not a curated record. NCBI's taxonomy places the organism in Eukaryota, Metazoa, Chordata, Mammalia, Primates, Cercopithecidae.
CAUGAUUUGCCCACCUCGGUCUCCCAGAAUGCUGGGAUUACAGGUGUGAACCACCACACCCGGCCUGAUUCCAAGUCUUAGUUGUCAUACUCUACAACCUUCCAUUAUAUUCCUUCCCUUCACUCUAUGCUCCAGACCUAACUCUAGUAAACAUUUAACAGACAACUAUUCUGGAACAUGUGGUGUCGCCAUCAGGUACCCAAAGCCAGUGACUCCAGCCAGGCUUACUUGUACCACCGUCCAUAUCCACUGCGCUUUCUUGGUUUCAACUGGAGUUUCAGUUUGGGUUGUGAAGGCCAGGGCUUUCAAACACAGACUUCAAGCCAGCUACAAGAAGCUCCUGGAGCACUCAGAGAAUAAGAACUACCCAUGGAUGACUGUUUGGCAGAACUGUCUCUUUCAAAGCUGGCUUGGGGCACCAUGGUUCCAGCUCAACUAGGGCUGAGGAGCAUUUAAAAUUACUGAACAAGAUGAAACAGAAAGCGCAAGCCUGUAUUCUACAGGUCCUUUGACCCUAUGGUGCCUAACUCAUGCCUGAGAUCACAGAAGGUACUAAACACAAGCAAGCUGUCUGAAUCGAUGAAAAAAUGUUGACUAUUCUCCCUUCUCCAGGGUAUUCUAGCAAUGGUGGUCAUGGAGUCUGAUGAGUCCCUGGCCUUAGAAUUGUGUGGCGAGUGCCUAUCUAACAGCGAUGCUCCUUUUUCCUUGCAGUUCCCAGGGAAAUAGUCCUGGUCAGCCCAAGCCAGUCAUGGCAGUAACAGUUUCCUUUGCCAGCAAUUUGUCUAAGGGUGAAGACUCAUUUCUGCCCAAAAAGAUAGAAAGUCCAUUGGGAGGCUUCAGGAAAUAUUUUCCUCCCCAGUAAAAGAGACGGGGUUCUAGGGGAAAAGUCCUUGUUUGCUUCCUUUCCUAACUUUCCUGUUUUAAACACUGUAUUUGUGGAUAUGAUGCCUGGAACAGAAGCAGUCAUCUCAGGUCCAUGGGACAGAUUUGAAGACAAAAAGUCUUUGCCAAAUCCAAAGAUGCUGGAGGGGAAGGACCAGAAGGAUGGAAAGAAUCUGGGAGCUUGAUAAGUUAGCAGCUAAAACUAAGCAUAGGAUCACCUACCUCCAGAUUCCUUACUACAAAAAUAGCGUCUGUCCUUAUUUCUGGGCCUAAGUGAGGGUUUCUGUUACUUGCAACUGAAAGCAUUCUAACUGAUUCAUAUCACCCAUGUUAAAAACAGGAGUAAUUGUGUCUCCCCUCUUCUAGGAGGGCGUUGUAUCUCAUCUCUUCUAGGUACGUUAUAAUUGAGAGAACAGAGGUUCAGGAGCCAAACAGAUGCCAGUCAGACAGAGUUCUGGCUGAGUAACCCUGAGCAAGUUUCUUAAUUUUCAAAGCUUCAGUGUAAUUAACUAUAAAAUGUAGGUAACAAUGAAGACUUCAUAAGCUUGCUAUCGUAAAAAAAUAAAAUAAUGACUGUAUAUAAGUCACUUACGCAUGCAGUAGGUGCUCAAUGUUAACUCCUUACUUUUUUACUUUCCAUAUAAUCCCUGUGUGGAGUAGAAGGGUCAAAUUGUGUGAAGGGGAAAGCACACUCCCAUGGUAGUAUCAAGAAACCUUGAUUUGAUUUUUCAUCAUCUUUCUUAUUCCAAGACAAGACAAAUGAUAGGGAUUGCUGUCCAUGUGGGAGGCUGGAGCUCAAAGAACAGCUUCUAAUCAGCAGGCCUGCCUGCGUGGCCUGUAUACAGACAAAUCCCUCAUUUAGGAGCUGUUCUUGCCUUUUGUUGAGCCUGAUGCUAUCUUUGACUCAGCCUGAUCAAACCAUCUGCUUAAUACCUCUAUUCAGAAAGGCCCCCACGUGCUGGGCUUCUUUGGGCCAGGAGGGUCUCUAUUUCCCACAACCUGCCCACAGCUAGGAGCCUUUAAAAUGUGGACCCAACUACCUCAGUGGGCAGUGAUCCCUGAGUGAGUGUGCAUCUGCCCUGGCAGCUUCAGGAUGGUGUGGGCCUGAGGACAAGCAGCAGGCAGUCAAAGCUGGCUUGCUGGCCACUCUCAUGGCCUUUCUGGACACACACCUAGAUAUGGCCCCCACACACAUGUGUGACACACUUUCCUCCCUGGUGAUUAGGCACAGUGAUCGUCAACCCCUGGAGAGCUGAGAACCUAUCUAUAGUCACACACUGUCCUUCCUCCUUCCUGAAGGCAUGAGGACGAUGUUAGCCUAACUCACAAACUCAUACUGUAAACCCCCACCACAGAGGCAGUGCAGAAUAAUGGUUAAGAGCCUCUACCCAUAGCUCCAGGAAUUACAACUUAUGUAACCUUGGCAAGUCACCUAAACCCUCUUGGGCUCUUUUAUCUCAUCUGGAAAAUGAGUAUGAAAAUAGAUUUGUUGUGAUAAUGUGUAUAAUGUGCUUAGCACUGUCCUUAGCAUGUGGUACCCAAUCAAUAAAAUGGACUCUCCCAGGCCACUUGUAUAUUAGGAAGGGAUCAUCUCCUCCUGCCGAAGGACAAUCCUAAGGCAUGGCCCACCCAACCUGCCAUCUUAAUUGGCUAUGGCUCAUAAGAUCAACAUUUACACUAGUCCAAAAUAUUUGUCAGAUAUUUCCUAUGUGUGGGCAUUUGGGAUCCAGCAGCAAGGAUCUUUGAGAGGUUACAGUCUAAGGAAAGAAACAAACUCAGAGACAAAAUCAUAGUCAUGAAUUGUAAAUCCCAUCAAGAAAAAGAGGGAGCUGUGAGAAGGAGUACAAAGUGAGCAGCAGGAGUGGGAGUAUCAUUUUACUGAAAGUCAGAUAAGACCUCCUGCUGAGAG